This is a microRNA precursor of Gorilla gorilla gorilla (western lowland gorilla), 66 nucleotides long. Lineage: Eukaryota; Metazoa; Chordata; Mammalia; Primates; Hominidae. The record is from Ensembl.
GGCUUUACAAGUCAGGAGCUGAAGCAGCUGGAAUUCAAGCCCUGCUGCCUCUCCUCUUGCCUGCAG